AAAUUUAAAAUAGAAUUUUAUUUUUUAGUAAAAAAGCUAAAAUUUUUUUAAAAGACGAGAAGACCCUAUAAAUCUUUAUAUUUAAUUUAAUUUUAAUUUAUUUAGAUAAAUUUUAUUUUAAUUAUUUUAAAUAUUUUAUUGGGGUGAUAUUAAAAUUUAAUGAACUUUUAAUUUAAAAUUUCAUAAAUAAAUGUUUUUUUGAUCCAUUAUUAAUGAUUAAAAAUUUAAGUUACUUUAGGGAUAACAGCGUAAUUUUUUUUGAGAGUUCUUAUUGAUAAAAAAGUUUGCGACCUCGAUGUUGGAUUAAGAUAUAUUUUUAAAUGCAGAAGUUUAAAUAUUAAGUCUGUUCGACUUUUAAAUUCUUACAUGAUCUGAGUUCAAACCGGUGUAAGCCAGGUUGGUUUCUAUCUUUAAUUAAAUAAAAUAUUUUAGUACGAAAGGAUUGAAUAUUUGAAUUAUAGAUUUUUUAUAUAGAAU
Molecule: ribosomal RNA, 477 nt
Filed under: Sphyracephala beccarii
Lineage: Eukaryota; Metazoa; Arthropoda; Insecta; Diptera; Diopsidae
Description: partial 16S ribosomal RNA
Rfam family: Bacterial large subunit ribosomal RNA (bases 240-399)
Source: RNAcentral